Toxorhynchites rutilus septentrionalis is the source of this 1133-nucleotide long non-coding RNA. RefSeq lists it as uncharacterized. The transcript has 3 exons. NCBI's taxonomy places the organism in Eukaryota, Metazoa, Arthropoda, Insecta, Diptera, Culicidae. The record is from RefSeq and is a predicted model, not a curated record.
CUACAUGGACAGCGCGCACAGUAAGGCACGUGAAAAGGGCUACCCAUCUUUUCGCGUUAGAACGCCCGAUUUUUACAACUAGUGGGCCAAAAUAAUCUACCCCGACGAAGCUGAAUGGUCGAACAAACGGUGAUAGCCUGGCAGUCGGCAGGGAUCCCAUUCGUGGAACAGCUGGCUUUGCUUUGUAAAUUUUACACUCGUAAUUUUGAUAUAUAAAAGUGUUGACGAAUUUCAUUCACGAUCGUUUCUGAAUUAGCAUGAAGAAAUCUGCGGUGAAAACCAUCCACGAGUAAGUUAGUGACUGGAUGUUUUCUAGGAAGUAUCACUGGAUAUUUUAGGUCGUUGGAAACCAACUGCAAUCUGCCUAUACGACCAUCGACACGAAGUACACCAUAUUCAUCUAGUAUGGGCGUUAGUUUGUAAACUAUUUCUUCAGCAUAAACACUUGCUUGCGUGAGUCGCCAAAGAAGAUUCUCUGCUUGUGUUAAUUCUUGGCUUGUGAGGAGUUGUUUCUUCAAACCGUUGCGAUUCUUCCUUUUGCAUGAGUUGAUGAACCGUAUUACAUAAGCAGUGGUACGUAAGAGGCGAUUCCAGUUAGAAAAUCGUAAAAAAUCGAUGGGUAUUUCGAAGGACACAUGGCCACAGUUCUUCUUCCGAAUAAAGGAAGUCUGGACCACGAUACCAACGUCCAUUUACGUCGUAGCAGGGACUGGUUCCCCAUUUUGUGGCUUCAUCGGCUACGUUAUGCCUACUCGGCACCCAUUUCCAUUCGCGUGCAUUGGUUGAUAAUAAAAUUUCUCCCACACGACAGGCUACGAAUUGUCGGUACCGACGAUGUUGAGAAUUGAUCCACGCCAAAACUGUUUUGGAAUCGGACCAGAAGAUUCGACGAUUCACACGAAUUGAAUGUCCUGCCAUGACCGUAUCUACUAAGCGAACACCUAGCAGCGCCGCCAUGAGCUCCAGUCGAGGAAUAGUAGUGUGUUGUAAUGGAGCUACUUUUGUCUUGGCGGCUACUAACGUACAUUGUACAUCUCCUGUAGAAUUUGUUACUCGAAAAUAUACAGCAGCAGCAUAGGCCUCUUCGCUAGCGUCUACGAAAACAUGAGCCUGAAGUGAUUUAUAUAACGUCG